GACGAACGCUGGCGGCGUGCUUAACACAUGCAAGUCGAGCGGCAAGGCCCUUUCGGGGGUACACGAGCGGCGAACGGGUGAGUAACACGUGGGUGACCUGCCCUCAGCUCUGGGAUAAGCCUGGGAAACCGGGUCUAAUACUGGAUAUGACUCCAUGACGCAUGUUGUGGGGUGGAAAGCCUUGUGCGGCUGAGGAUGGGCCCGGCGGCCUAUCAGCUUGUUGGUGGGGUGGAUGGCCUACCAAGGCGACGACGGGUAGCCGGCCUGAGAGGGCGACCGGCCACACUGGGACUGAGACACGGCCCAGACUCCUACGGGAGGGCAGCAGUGGGGGAAGUCUUGCGCAAUGGGCGAAAGCCUGACGCAGCGACGCCGCGUGAGGGAUG
Molecule: ribosomal RNA, 386 nt
Filed under: uncultured bacterium
Lineage: Bacteria
Description: bacterial SSU rRNA
Rfam family: Bacterial small subunit ribosomal RNA
Source: RNAcentral